RNAcentral lists this transfer RNA (73 nucleotides) under Elusimicrobiota bacterium. Its description in RNAcentral is "Elusimicrobia bacterium (groundwater metagenome) tRNA-OTHER". It matches the Rfam family "tRNA". Rfam says of the family: Transfer RNA (tRNA) molecules are approximately 80 nucleotides in length. Their secondary structure includes four short double-helical elements and three loops (D, anti-codon, and T loops). Further hydrogen bonds mediate the characteristic L-shaped molecular structure. tRNAs have two regions of fundamental functional importance: the anti-codon, which is responsible for specific mRNA codon recognition, and the 3' end, to which the tRNAs corresponding amino acid is attached (by aminoacyl-tRNA synthetases). tRNAs cope with the degeneracy of the genetic code in two manners: having more than one tRNA (with a specific anti-codon) for a particular amino acid; and 'wobble' base-pairing, i.e. permitting non-standard base-pairing at the 3rd anti-codon position. The record is from RNAcentral. Lineage: Bacteria; Pseudomonadati; Elusimicrobiota.
GGGCGUGUAGCUCAGUUGGGAGAGCGCCUGCAUGGCAUGNNGGUCGCAGGUUCGAUCCCUGUCACGUCCACCA